Molecule: long non-coding RNA, 347 nt
Organism: Macadamia integrifolia
Lineage: Eukaryota; Viridiplantae; Streptophyta; Magnoliopsida; Proteales; Proteaceae
Exons: 2
Source: RefSeq, a predicted model, not a curated record
CCAAAUCGUGGUUGUUAUUACAGUAAGUAGAAAAGGAAAGAAAAGAGAAGAAGAACAAGAAGAAACGAGAAGGAAGAAAAAGAAGUGCGGAGAGAGCUUCUUCACUUGAGGCUGCUCUUGGAUCAGCAAAGCCCACAGGGGUCUGGACAUACUGUCCCUGAAUACAAGCCAGUAGAGGCGUUGGCCAUUUUUAGCCGUUAAUUGGUAGGACAAUCAAUAUGAGAGAGAGAGAGAGAGAGAGCAGUAUUUGUCAAUGUCCUUAUCUCUAUAUUUGUAGUCUCUAUGUUGAGCAUGGAAGAAAACAUCAUUAUUUAUAACGAAUAAAGAGAAUCAUUUUGUGAUUCAAA